AGUUUGAUCCUGGCUCAGGACGAACGCUGGCGGCGUGCCUAACACAUGCAAGUCGAGCGUGAACCCUUGGAAUGAAACUUCGGUCGAAUGAAGAGGGGGAAAGCGGCGGACGGGUGAGUAACGCGUAGGUAACCUGCCCCAUACAGAGGGAUAGCCUCGGGAAACCGGGAUUAAGACCUCAUAACACCGUUUCUUCGCAUGAAGGGAUGGUCAAAGAUUUAUCGGUAUGGGAUGGGCCUGCGUCUGAUUAGCUGGUUGGUGAGGUAACGGCUCACCAAGGCGACGAUCAGUAGCCGACCUGAGAGGGUAAUCGGCCACAUUGGAACUGAGACACGGUCCAAACUCCUACGGGAGGCAGCAGUGGGGAAUAUUGCACAAUGGGCGAAAGCCUGAUGCAGCAACGCCGCGUGAGCGAAGAAGGCCUUUGGGUCGUAAAGCUCUGUCGGGAAGGAAGAUAAUGACGGUACUUCCCGAGGAAGCCCCGGCUAACUACGUGCCAGCAGCCGCGGUAAUACGUAGGGGGCGAGCGUUAUCCGGAAUUACUGGGCGUAAAGAGUGCGUAGGUGGUUGCUUAAGCGUGGGGUGAAAGGCAAUGGCUUAACCAUUGUGAGCCUCGCGAACUGGGCGACUUGAGUGCAGGAGAGGAAAGCGGAAUUCCUAGUGUAGCGGUGAAAUGCGUAGAUAUUAGGAGGAACACCAGUGGCGAAGGCGGCUUUCUGGACUGUAACUGACACUGAGGCACGAAAGCGUGGGGAGCAAACAGGAUUAGAUACCCUGGUAGUCCACGCCGUAAACG
This 796-nucleotide ribosomal RNA is filed under the name uncultured bacterium. Its description in RNAcentral is "bacterial SSU rRNA". It matches the Rfam family "Bacterial small subunit ribosomal RNA", at positions 10 to 808 of the family's 1533-position model. The record is from RNAcentral.